Molecule: long non-coding RNA, 5712 nt
Organism: Astatotilapia calliptera (eastern happy)
Lineage: Eukaryota; Metazoa; Chordata; Actinopteri; Cichliformes; Cichlidae
Source: Ensembl
CCGGCUGUCGCUGACUUUCUGUGGUCUCUGCUGUGUGGACGCCACUCUGGCCCUUGCAGAGCAGACGAUGCUGACGAGCGUGGCUGUCACUAACAUGGUCAACUCAGAUACUGCGAGCACUGAAGUCCCGCCCACCUGCUGGCUUACUACUUCAUUAAGAAAAAGGAGUUUCACUCACAAACAGGUGAAAGAACUUCUAACAGCUCGUCACAUCAGUCACUGUAGUAACUCAGCUUUCAUUAUUAUUUAUGUGGCAUUUAACAUAUAAAAGCACACGUUAGUCAAAACCCCCGGUGGUCAUAAAGGAAACUGUGGUUCUUACUAUAAUAAGUUACAGGUACAGAAAGUGGCAGUAUGGUUUACAUGUAGUAUGAUUUCAGCAUUUCUUAUUCCUGGUUCUUACUUAGUCAUUUCCUUCUGAGUUGAAACAGUGAAGAAAGUGACUGAGGCCGAUUAAGAUCUGCCGAGCUCUGGAAUUAUGUGUUCUAGAACGGUCCAGAGGAUUUGUGCCCUUAAAGACUCUGCAGCCAGGAGGCUGAGCGCUAGCACUGCCAGCUGCCACUAUUUAUUUCUAUAGCACCAAAUCACAACAACAGUCAACUUUAUAUUUGAGCUGACUGCAGGUUAAAGACCCAACAUUAACAGAAAGAAACCCAAAAGUCAGACGACCCCCUAUGAGCAAGCACUUGGCGACAUCGGGAAGAGAAAACUCCCUUUUAACAGGAAGUAACCUUCAGCAGAACCGGGUCAGGGAGGGGCGGGGCCAUCUGCUGUUACAUAUCCUGUGACUGGUCGACACACUGUGGAAGAGCCAGAGAUUAAUAAUGACUAAUGAUUAAAUGCAGAGUGGUGUAUAAGCACAGAGAGAGUGAAGAAGAAGCACACAGUGCAUCAUGGGAAAACUCCAGCAACAUCCAGCCUAUUGCAACGUGACAAAGGCUGUUUAGGUUUACGUGGUUGCAGCGAGAUCCACACAGUAAAAUAAAAAAUGUUUUUAAUGUCUUUUGGAACCAUUCAUUAUUUAACAGUAACAUCUAAUAAGACAUGCACUUAGUGGGGAUAGGUUAAUUGGUUAAUCCAAAUUGCCCAUAGGUGUGAAUGUGUGAGUGAAUGUGAGUGCGAAUGGUUGUCUGUCUCUGUGUGUUGGCCCUGCGACAGACUGGCGACCUGUCCAGGGUGUACCCCGCCUCUCGCCCUAUGACAGCUGGGAUAGGCUCCAGCGCCCCCCGCGACCCUGAAAAGGAUAAGCGGAAGCGGAUGGAUGGAUGGAUCUAAUAAUACAGAUAUGGAGAUGAAAAUGGGCAUAACAGGUCCUCUUUAAAUGUGAAGUAACUUUACUCGUAUGGAGUAACGUCUUCUAUGGCAGCAUGUUAACGACUGACAGGACCUCCUGGUAUCACCACGACUGUCUUGUUUCGGCCUCGGCGACAGAAAGACUGAGUUACAACGAGAGGGCGUGGAGUUUGAGAGACGGUGAAGGUCGCAUUUCAUUGAUGGGAACUGACUGCAGCCUGGUGUUUAGAGCCCAACAUACCAUUACCAUAAAACUAAUUGCUUUGUCAGACUAACGAUCCAAAAGCUGAGAUAAAAAAGAAAACUAUAAUUAACUUCCAGCGAUAAAAAGUUGAUGUAAUAUUUGGUACGAGGUGUCCUUAAACCACCACCUGUAACACUUUUGGAGACUUAAAGCUUAAGGUGGUGGGAACAUGACGUGCACGCUUAUCCUCCCCACGGUUCGUGCGCCCUUUGGACAUUUGCGCUUUGUGCUUUUUUUCAGGCGUUCGUGACUUUUUUUGUAACUUUUUCCUAAAAAUGUAAAGCUACAGUUUAAAGUUUCUUACGCAGCGUCACAGAAAUCAUUUUUGCCACACCUCCUACGCGUCACACUGAAGCGGUGUCUUUUAUUUAUAAAGGCUAUAUUAAAAUGGUGAUUUUUUUUUUGCCUCUAAUUUAAGUUAUAAAGAAUUUAUCAUGGCAUUGUGCGCCCCGGGGCAGCUUUUACUUUCUCGAAUUACUCUUCUCUCGGCCCGUCUCCUUCUUUGCCAACCAUUAAAAAGAGAAUUAUGAUCUCGAACGGCGUCACACUGUGUUUAAAUGCGCCCUCUGUGGUUUGACAUGUUUGUAUGGCUCCUGCAGCACAUGCUAUAAGUGUGUCUGUAUUUAUGUGCUCACGUGUACGACUCUGCGACUGUGCGUGUGGCGGCACAGUCGUUUGUAGAGGAAAUGAAUAGUUGCUACCAUCGUUCAUAGCUCCCUAAUGAGGCGGCUGGGCUCUUGCUUCUCCUCGUGUCUCCUCGUUUUAUACGUUCUGUGUGGCCAGGUCUCCUUCUCAUCUCGUGUCCCUAAAAACACCCGGAGGCCUCAUUACCCUACCGUCAUUGUUUAUUUGGAGGGGAGAAGAAGAGAGGAGAGGAAAGAUCAAAGAAAGGUCUGUGAUCGACUGCUUCCUGUCGCACAACCUUCCACAAGGCCAGGUCUGCUGUCGGGGUCUAAAAACAUGCUGCACAGUCUCAGACUUUGUGUCUGUGGCUCCGAACUUUUGAUGGCGUUCGCUUGAUCAGCGCCAGAUUGCCUCUCGGUGUCAUCUAAUCCUUUCUGAAGGUUAUUGUUUUGCUAUUUUGGGGAGACCCAGCUUCACUCCUCACUUUGAAGAAAAUGAUGUCAUGACUCUAACCAGAGCCCGUGUUGUAAUUAAAAAUGAAACCGCCUGUGAUCACAUUACUGGAUUAUAGUGUUACACAGGAACAUACUUCCAAACCUGACAGGGAGGAUGAGAGGGAGGAAGAAGGGGAGAGUUUUGGAGCAAGAAAGCAGCGUUUCAAAGAGUGACAGGAAGGAAAAAGUAAAGGAGAGGCUGGUUUUUCUUUUUCUUUUCUUUUUGUCAAAAGGAAAACAAAUCCCCUUGAACAAAUCCUGGUGUACAGCAGCUUUUGUUAUAUUUGUCCUACUUCCUGACUUACAGUUAUGCAGAAAUAUUUCCAGUCUUCAGUUAUUAAAAUUUGUCUCAAACAUUGGCUCUUGGAUCCAGAUGUCAGCAAUGGAAGAAACUGGUUUCUGGAAAAGAAUAUUCAGAGAAUAUUCUGCCCCCAUCAACUAUGAACAAAUAAGAGAAUGAAUAGAUGGAUCGAUGGGACUUUAAAUCAAGGUGAAAACUGGGAUUAAGCUUGACACUGGAAAACAAUAACGUAAAAGAAAUGAUUGCGUUGGCUUUCCAGUUCUCCUGUUUUGUACACAUGAUGAGCGCGGGACUGUCUGCAUAUAAAUGUUUGUACGCAGGUAUUUGUAUAAGAUACGUGAACUACAUAUGUCUGUCUGUCGCUGUGUUGAUAAUAUAAAAUGAUUUUAUUAGCAAAACAGCUAACAGACGUAAUAAAUGUGCUCAACAAAGUCAUUUCUGUUAAUCUGAAAGUGCUGGUGCAAAUGCGCCUGUUCAAUUUUCCUGUUUUAUUAAAAUGGACAUUUCAUUUGACAUCUUCCUCCAUCAAGGCUUAAAAUGUAUUUAACUGUAUGUGCUUUUUGACUUUAACAGAGAGAAAGAAUAUUACUGAGCAGAAAUAAGGAAGCGAAUAUUCACAGCAAAGGUCUGUUUUGUACCAUUAAACAUGAGAACGUUUUCCAGCAUGUGCAAUAGUUCCUGCACACUCGCAGCAUGAAGUGUUUGUACUUCAGUUAGAAGCAUGUUUCAUGCCUGGAUCAUGUUUCUCAAACAACUGAUGAGGGAGAAAAUCACCAUGGCAACCAAGACAACAAAGCUUUGAAAAAGUGGGAACUGAAUUUUUUUUUUUUUUAGCCAUCCAAGUAGUUUUAUUGUUUUAGCCACUGUUUAUUAAAAAAUAAGCGACACUAAAAGAUGUGCAAGAUUUACACGUUUUGUGCGUGCAGUGGUGUCGGUCAGCAUCGCUGCUCAGGGACGCUGUCAUACCAGUGUUUGCCAGACAUGAAAUCAUAGAAACAUAUUCAGUGAGUUUGCUGAAAUGUCAUCUAUUGUAUGAAUCGCUUUAGUGCGACCCAUUACGAGGAAGGUGGGAAGACUGAAGAGAGACGUCGACCAAAGCAACCUUACCGACCUCACACAGAUAUCGAUUUUCGUGAAUCUUUUCUCCGUUUUUCUCAGAUAAGUCUCGUGUGUGUCGGAACGUAGUAACGUGAUGGGCUUAAUGGGAGGAUGAGCAUUUCAAUAGCUAUUCAACACGCACACACACACGCACACACACACACACACACACACACACAGGUUUCCACAUGUUUCAUUGAGUAAUGAACCGUUUCCACAUCCUUUGGCAAACUAAUUGAAAAUAUUGCAAAACGAUUGAUUGGGUUAAGGAGCUGAAAUUAUUGUUUAGCAGGUUUGAGAUCUGUUGACUGCAUAAGAUUCACAUGAUUUUCACACUGAUGAAAUUAUUCAGUGAGCCCUGGUGUCCUAUAGACGAGGGGGGGCACUGUCAUCCUGCAAGAGGCCACUCGUCUCCAGAUCGUACAUUAAGAUGUGAAAUGUUAUUACAAGACUCAUUAGAUAUAAAGAGAAUUUAGUUUAUUCCAAAUGUGUUUUAUUAUUAGUUACUGUUUUUGUUUAGGCUACUCAUUACUGCUUAUUUUUAAAGGUAAUUUUGGUUCCUAACUGCGGCUGUUUAGAGCGUCACACGAUGAAGCCGCCAUGACGUCACCCACUGGUUUGACUGUAAAACUGCGUGUUCAUUGGACUUUAUGUUUUAUUCCAUAUGACCAGAAAUAAGUGACUGAACUCAUAAACUUAUCAGAAAAGUGUUUACAAAUCUCAGAGCCCAGAGACGUUUUUCAGUCCACGAGCCAAGAAGUCUUUUUGCAACCACCUGCCCUCUGGUGGCCAUUCAAGCCUGCAGCUGUAAAGCACUUCCAUGUUGGGUUCACCUUUCAGACCCAGAAGCUUGUUGAUGCGUCUGUGGUCGGGGAGAAGAGGAAGUGAAGCUGAGUGCAUGCGCUCCCGUUGCUGUUAUUACAUAAGAUGCUCUCGUAGGAGAAACAACAGCCCAGCUUCACCCACACAGACCUGAGAGUACUAAAGCAGAAACAGGGUUAUGAUAUUGUGAACAUGUUUUCUAUAUUUAUCAGUCGAUAGGUUAUUAAUUAGCAUGACCUAAUCAGCAUUUUCUAUACUGCUCAUUUUGUAUUCCAUACAGACUAAGUGUCCACAAUCAGUGCGUUAUAAUUUAGUCAUUUUGAAAAAUGUCAAUGGGAUUUGUGAUGAAUGUGGUUCAUUAUGAACUGAUUUCGUAUGACUGUUUAAUCAUUAUCAACCUUUUUAAAUAUAAAAGUUCAAAGUGAAGAUCUGCUGAAGAUUGCAGUAUUGUGGGGAGGUGUGAGGAACGCGAGCCUGUACAGGUCUGUGCGUCCCUCCAUGUCAGACCAACGCGAACUGUUCACGUCUGGAUGACGGCCGCUUUCAGCGGUACCACCGUCUGUCCCUCACCCAGUUUGAGGAGCUGCUGUCCCGCGUUGGUCCAAGCGGCGCCCGCCUAGACACCAACUACAGGCGCUCAAUCCCACCUGCAGAGCGCCUGUUCAUCUGCCUGCAGUCACUAAAAGUGUUUAAUACAGCAGUCCUUUAUUUAUACCUGUGCUAAUAUAUGCUCAUUUAAAGUCCCAGUGACUUCCCCACAAACCUCUGAAGAGCGUUCCUGCCUUUCUUUUUUUGGAGUGGAGCUUUCCUCCGAAAUAAACUAACUUGUCUUUAUC